UACGUAGGGACCGAGCGUUGUCCGGAAUCAUUGGGCGUAAAGAGCGUGUAGGCGGCUUGUUAAGUCUUGCGUGAAAUCUCGGGGCUCAACCCCGAGCGGUCGUGAGAAACUGGCAGGCUAGAGUGCGGGAGAGGAGAGUGGAAUUCCUGGUGUAGCGGUGAAAUGCGCAGAUAUCAGGAAGAACACCCGUGGCGAAAGCGGCUCUCUGGAACGGUACUGACGCUGAGGCGCGAAAGCUAGGGGAGCAAACAGG
Molecule: ribosomal RNA, 253 nt
Filed under: uncultured bacterium
Lineage: Bacteria
Description: partial 16S ribosomal RNA
Rfam family: Bacterial small subunit ribosomal RNA
Source: RNAcentral